UAAAGAGAAAAAAAAAAAAAAAGGAAAAAAAAAAAAAAAAGGGCGCUGUGAUGCUACUUGAUAUCUUUGCCAGAAAAUAUCCCAAAUAUUUUGGUUUUGUUACUCUAAUAAAGAUAAUGGAGUAAGAAAUGAUGAAAUGUCCAUGCACAAAAAAUCCUUGUCGCGAUUUAUUUUGCCUGUUUGAUUGGAGUAUUAGGAAUUUUUUUUAUAUUUCCUAGUUAGAUGUGGUAUAAGAGUUCUUAAACCAAUUCAUUGUCAAAAGGGCAGCCAAUAAUAGUUCACUCUUAGAUCUUUUCUAUUUGCAUGAAGAAGUUUUUUCUUUACUAAAUAAGGCAUUUUCCCAAGCCCGGUGUGGAACAGUUAUCUCCUUUAUCUCAAGUAGCUGGCCUACCACCGAGUUCUGAUCUGGUUUUUGUAAGGAACUGGAUGUCUGGAAGCAGACUUUCAAUAAGAUAUUUAGGGAAAAAAAAAAAGCUAACUUAAGUUGUUUACCUACUUUUGAGUAAUGUUUUGCUCUCUGUGGCUGUAUAUUGUAAAGGCACGCUGUGUCUUGGUGAUUUUUUUUUUAUUAUUCUUUCAAAAGCUGUUUGGAAGACUUAAUGUAUUAUACUGAUUAUAUGUUAGUGGAAUGUUUCUCUCCUCGUUUUCCAAAUUAAGUAAAAUAAUAUUUUUGUUUCUUUGGAUGUAUCUUUAAUUCUACUAUGAUAAACUGAAGUUUGCAUUCAGUUGCAGCUGUAUUAAAAUGUAAAUAAAUGACUAUUACCUGCCUGGAUGCCUUGAAAAGGUUCUGUCUGCUGAAUUUUUUCUGUUUUGAAGAGUGUUCUAAUGACUGUGUAAUUCUAAUUCUUGAACCUGCUGCUGACUGUGGGUUCUCUUAAGUCUAUGAAAUUCAUUUAAUUGUUAUUUUUAGGAGUUGUGAAAAAUGAUAGGGUAUGUGAGUGUCUUCACUGAGCUAGGAGUACUUGAUGACUGUGUAUACCUUUGAAGCUGUAGGUAAAUGGGUAGUUUCUGUUCAGUAGAAAAACUUCUGUGUGCACUUUGUAGGAUGCAGUGGUGUUUUAUAAAGCUUCCAUAAGGUUUUGAUAAAGUUUUUCCAAAAAUACAGCCUUUAUGCCAAUGACAUAUAGAAUUCUUGAGUAUUGCAUGGCUAAAAAAUAGAUAACUAUAUUAAGUUUGUGGGGUGUAAGCUCGUUCAUUGUAGUUU
This 1204-nucleotide long non-coding RNA is filed under the name Gallus gallus (chicken). Lineage: Eukaryota; Metazoa; Chordata; Aves; Galliformes; Phasianidae. The record is from RNAcentral.